This is a non-coding RNA of Sus scrofa (pig), 765 nucleotides long. The record is from RefSeq and is a predicted model, not a curated record. Lineage: Eukaryota; Metazoa; Chordata; Mammalia; Artiodactyla; Suidae.
GCCCCGGCACUGGAGAGGAGCAGUGGCCGGUCACUAUGGAGACGGGCUUCUACAACCACACGAAAGGAUUCCACCCAGGAGGACAGGUCCCGGGAUUAAGAGGAUUCGUUUUCACGUAUUGGUCCAGCCGACGGCUCGCCUUCUCUUUGCUGCUUUAAUUGGGCGUAGUGGAAGGGCCGCGUGCCCUCUGCGCUCGCUGGCUUUCUCGCCAUCUGCUGCAGGAAAAGACUGCGUUUGCCGAGAAAAUAAAGAAGAUACCAAGAAUGACCGAGUGCGACUGGUCACAGGGUAGCACCUUUCACCUAAGCAGCCUUCCUUGUGCUGAGGAAACCUAGGAGGCAUUUCAAAAAAAGCUGACCUGUUGCAAUGCCACAGGAUUCAGGAUAAGAAAAGUACUUCAGCUUCAAAUUCAGAUACAGAAAUGAAACCUGAACAACGGCCUUCUUGUGUGAACCCUGGCAAUCCUGUGUUUUCGUGUAUGUUGGACCCAAGGUCACUCCAUACAGCUACCUCACUAUCAAAACCUAAGAUGAUUAUGUAUAAAACCAAUUCAAGUAAUUACGGUGAAUUUUUACCUAUGCCACAGUUUUUCCCCUGUUAUUAUACUCCAAAGGAGCAAGUAUUUUCAGGCCAUAUCAGAGCUACUGGUUUUUAUCAAAAUAACACUCUAAAUACUACACCUGACAGAACAAGAACACUUGAUUUUCCUAAUUUUCAACACACUCUAUGAAAAUAUAUUACUCAAAUAAAGAGAAAAUAUACUCA